This 205-nucleotide unclassified non-coding RNA is filed under the name plant metagenome. Its description in RNAcentral is "partial contains small subunit ribosomal RNA, internal transcribed spacer 1, and 5.8S ribosomal RNA". The record is from RNAcentral.
GUAGGUGGUAAGUAAACUGGCUCCGAACUCAAAUAAAAAGGAAAUCGAAUACUAACUACGUCUUUUAGAACCUGCGGAAGGAUCAUUAAAAGAGAGCCCGGGGUGCCUUUUUUGGCCCCCAGACCUCCCACCCUUUGUGAACGUACCUUGAGUUGCUUUGGCGGGGCGUGGCCAGAAAUGGUCCCGCUGGUCCCCUUCGCCCGGG